RNAcentral lists this long non-coding RNA (998 nucleotides) under Triticum aestivum (bread wheat). RNAcentral's name for it is "long non-coding RNA (TAES_LNC009904)". Lineage: Eukaryota; Viridiplantae; Streptophyta; Magnoliopsida; Poales; Poaceae. The record is from RNAcentral.
UUUUUUUUCUGUGAGGAAAACUGAUUUGGAGAUCUGAAGAUAAUCUACAGGAAACUUGCUCGACGUGGUGGUAGGUACACAAAGCUGAACUGAACGAGCUUAUUAACACGAGAUCCCGGAGUCCAUCUCGUGCUUAUCAGGGGCAGGGGCAACCAACCAGAAUACUGAUUUCAAACUUUGACACUGUAUCAUUUAAGCUACUACAAGAUGGAAGCUGGCUAAAACCGGCAGGUCAUUCCACAUGUUUGAGAUAGGACACAUCUUCUCUUACACUCCUGAUUGUGUCCAAUGUUUCAGCAUACUCUACUCAAGCAAUGGCCGACCCAGUCUGCAGUUUCGACGGUGGCAGAACCAGGAAUAGCAGGAGAUACAAAAUGUUCUGGUGCGUUGUUUAGGAAUUGCGGGUGAUGCAUGCAACCAAUAAUAUUGCAGGCACGAUGUGGAAGCCCGCAGCCUUUUCUGAACCUGUAAAAUCUGAAAGCAAGACACCAAGUAACUUGUAGUGCCAUCAGUAUGUUUGCAGUUCAGAGCCGCUAAUAUGCGUCUUCAGUUCAGAGCAUAUUAGCGGCUCGUCCGUUCGUUCGGGUUCAGAUGCAGCAAGCCGGAUUGCUUAUAUUGCAAAAAUUGAUAGUCGAAUGAUAAUUUAAGUUCAAAAAAUCAGAGCAUAAGAACACGCGGCUUGAAAAGGCAAGAAAUUUGAUAAUCUAAUCCAACAUUUGGUGCAACCACAUUCAAGAGGAAAGGCUCAGAUACAGGGAGAAUCGGGCAUUCAAAGGCACGUGUAUGAGAACUGGAACCAACAUUUUCAUUUCCAUUGCUGAUGGCAACAAGAAGGUACCAUCAGAUUAGGCAUACCACAUCCACCCACCAUGAGAGGAACAUGGAUCUAACACGACGCACAUUCUGAAACACUACGGAUUUUCCACCGAUGAACUCAGCCUAACAGGGAUCUACGUAUCUGACACGGCGCAUGGACAUGGAUUGCAGCAGCAGCCUAU